Phasianus colchicus (ring-necked pheasant) is the source of this 404-nucleotide non-coding RNA. The record is from RefSeq and is a predicted model, not a curated record. Lineage: Eukaryota; Metazoa; Chordata; Aves; Galliformes; Phasianidae.
GUUAGACAUAGCAACAGUGCUGGAGGAUUCUUUCCAAGGAAGCUCUUCAUGAGACUUCUGUCUGGGACAGGGCUCAGGGCUGCAGGGAGAACUGCAGAGUAAAACACCUGUAGAGGCAAAUUCAAAUCUAAACUACAAGGUCCAUCACUUAGAUGUUACAUCAAAGGAAGAAAGGGUCCAGCAAGUAGCAAAUUGAGAGCUUCUUCCGCAUGUGUUCCAAACCUCAUCUGCCAGUGAAACACACACCAGCAUGUCAAAGUAUUUUCUAGCAUCAGUUGCUGCAAUACCAUUCUGUGUGAAAAUGGAGGUGAUUAUGUUCCUCUAAGGGAACUAAGAGAUACUUUUAUGGCUUGGACUUGAAGCUAUUCUUAUGAUCCAGAGCCUCUCAUUAAGUUAGUACUUGU